Molecule: ribosomal RNA, 775 nt
Filed under: uncultured Neocallimastigales
Lineage: Eukaryota; Fungi; Neocallimastigomycota; Neocallimastigomycetes; Neocallimastigales
Description: partial large subunit ribosomal RNA
Rfam family: Eukaryotic large subunit ribosomal RNA
Source: RNAcentral
UAUCUCUGUAGAGUCUGCAUAUCAAUAAGCGGAGGAAAAGAAACUAACUAGGAUUCCCUUAGUAACGGCGAGUGAAGCGGGAAGAGCUCAAAUUUGAAAUCUUCAAGGUUCUACCUUGACGAAUUGUAGUUUAUAGAAGUGUUUUCUGUUGGAGUUUUGGUAAAAGUCCUUUGGAAUAGGACAUCAUAGAGGGUGAGAAUCCCGUAUUUGACCAUUUCUUCCAGCUGUGUGAUACACUUUCAAAGAGUCGGAUUGUUUGGGAAUGCAGUCCAAAAUGGGUGGUAAAUUUCAUCUAAAGCUAAAUAUUGGCGAGAGACCGAUAGCGAACAAGUACCGUGAGGGAAAGAUGAAAAGAACUUUGAAGAGAGAGUUAAACAGUACGUGAAAUUGUCAAAAGGGAAGCGUUUGACACCAGUGUUGUUUUCUCGAAAAUCAAUUAAAAAUGACCGGAUUUUGUGUUGUAUUGACUUUAUCAGCUUUCUGCACUUUUUUCUUGUCUUUUUUAAUGCACUUUUCGUUUAACAAGUCAACAUCAAUUUCUUUUGUUGUAAAAGGGUCAUUGGAAGGUGGCUUUCUUUUCGGAGAAAGUGUUUAUAGCCUCUGACUUCUGCAGUCGGAGAGAUUGAGGUCUGCAGCGUAGAUCCUUCAGGGUUAAUAGCAGUUUGUGCUAAGCUAUAACCUUUCAUAGACAACUUGUUGACUAUGAUCUGUCAUGUAGCUUACUCGCUUAUGCUAUUUUACCUACGCUUAGGAUGUUGAACGCGCACAGAGUCUC